CACUAUAAAUCUGAAAUAUCAAUAGUGAAAACUAUGCACCAAAGCAUUGGAUCAACUCAUCAUCCAGUAAGAAUUCAUCAAUUUCAAAAUUAUAUGGACUGGGGAGUCCUCCGAAUUCUAACGACAAGCUAUGUAGUGGAGGUGGAGACCCAAAAGGUCUAUCCUUAAUCAAAUGAUGCAACUCUCCUACAGUGAUCUCAUUUCCAUCCUUAUGUAAAGCUGAUAUGUGGCCUCCAUAAUCUUGUGAUCUGAUCUGUGGUGCAUCCAUUGUGACAUGAGACCGCUGUGCAUCAUGAGUAGGCCCAUAGUCAACAGAUGGAUUAUAGAUAUCGUAAGCAGAUCCAUGAUGCAACCCUGAAUUUUGUAAGUCUGAGAAAAACAUGGAGCUUCCAUCUGCAUGCAUGCUCCCCAUAGAAUCAACAUUGGCAGGGGGAACGGCAGGAAAGUAGUUAAAUUCAGAUGGUGGUAGACUGGAUCCACUUUCAAGGCCUUUCUUCCAAGGCCUCAAACCAGUAGUUGUAUCAUUUUCCUGUUCAGUGCCAUUAAUCUGAUAUUUCACAGCUGAUAAAUCAGUAGUGUUUAUAUCAGGCACAGUAUUUAUAGGCUCCUCAGCAAAUGAACGCUUACUAAGAGAUGGUCCAGACUGUUGAUCAGCAUGGCUAGAUUUCCCACGAAGCCUCUUUCUCCUUGGUUGCUUUUCCCCUUGAUCCUUAUCUUCGACAGCUUGGAGAUUGUCAUUUUGAACACUGCUUGGUGGCUCCACUUCCAUUGCUGUAUUUCUCCUGUUAUCUUUUGAUGAAACAGAACCAAUACCAUCAUCAGUAGCAUCAACAUCAUAAUCACUGUCACUGCUAAUGGCAGGUCGCUUCUUUUCACCAUGUCCACCUUGAGGCGUUUCAGUUAUACCAGAAGUGCCAUUAUCACUGCUAGGCUGUUGAAUGAGGGAUUCCUCUCGACUCAAGACACUCAGCCAAAUUGCACUCUCCUUU
Molecule: unclassified non-coding RNA, 989 nt
Filed under: Hevea brasiliensis (rubber tree)
Lineage: Eukaryota; Viridiplantae; Streptophyta; Magnoliopsida; Malpighiales; Euphorbiaceae
Source: RNAcentral